GAUGAAGAACGUAGCGAAAUGCGAUAAGUAAUGUGAAUUGCAGAAUUCAGUGAAUCAUCGAAUCUUUGAACGCACAUUGCGCCCCUUGGUAUUCCGAGGUGCAUGCCUGUUCGAGCGUCAUUAUAACCCCUCAAGCUCAGCUUGGUGUUGGGGCCUGCUGCACUGGCAGCCCUUAAAAUCAGUGGCGGCGCCAUCUGGCUCUAAGCGUAGUAAUUCUUCUCGCUAUGGAGUCCUGGUGGAUGCUUGCCAUCAACCCCCAAUUUUUCUAUGGUUGACCUCGGAUCAGGUAGGGAUACCCGCUGAACUUAAGCAUAUCAAUAAGCGGAGGA
This 329-nucleotide unclassified non-coding RNA is filed under the name soil metagenome. RNAcentral's name for it is "partial contains 5.8S ribosomal RNA, internal transcribed spacer 2, and large subunit ribosomal RNA". The stretch from base 1 to 120 matches the Rfam family "5.8S ribosomal RNA", at positions 35 to 154 of the family's 154-position model. The record is from RNAcentral.